ACCGCUUGAGGGCUAUGAUUAAAAAAGUCCUUUAAUCUUUUCCAGACUUGAUAGAACGUUUCAUUGUCCUUUUGUGAAAAUGUGGAAAUCUGUCGUUUUAGACUGU
Small nucleolar RNA from Humulus lupulus (European hop), 106 nucleotides. NCBI's taxonomy places the organism in Eukaryota, Viridiplantae, Streptophyta, Magnoliopsida, Rosales, Cannabaceae. The record is from RefSeq and is a predicted model, not a curated record.